This 662-nucleotide ribosomal RNA is filed under the name uncultured bacterium. Its description in RNAcentral is "bacterial SSU rRNA". It matches the Rfam family "Bacterial small subunit ribosomal RNA", at positions 26 to 687 of the family's 1533-position model. The record is from RNAcentral.
AGGAUGAACGCUGGCGGCGUGCUUAACACAUGCAAGUCGAACGAGGCACCUUGAUUCGAUUCUUCGGAUGAAGAUCUUGGUGACUGAGUGGCGGACGGGUGAGUAACGCGUGGGUAACCUGCCUCAUACAGGGGGAUAACAGUUAGAAAUGACUGCUAAUACCGCAUAAGACCACAGCACCGCAUGGUGCAGGGGUAAAAACUCCGGUGGUAUGAGAUGGACCCGCGUCUGAUUAGGUAGUUGGUGGGGUAACGGCCUACCAAGCCGACGAUCAGUAGCCGACCUGAGAGGGUGACCGGCCACAUUGGGACUGAGACACGGCCCAAACUCCUACGGGAGGCAGCAGUGGGGAAUAUUGCACAAUGGGGGGAAACCCUGAUGCAGCGACGCCGCGUGAGCGAUGAAGUAUUUCGGUAUGUAAAGCUCUAUCAGCAGGGAAGAAAAUGACGGUACCUGACUAAGAAGCACCGGCUAAAUACGUGCCAGCAGCCGCGGUAAUACGUAUGGUGCAAGCGUUAUCCGGAUUUACUGGGUGUAAAGGGAGCGUAGACGGAGUGGCAAGUCUGAUGUGAAAACCCGGGGCUCAACCCCGGGACUGCAUUGGAAACUGUCAAUCUAGAGUACCGGAGAGGUAAGCGGAAUUCCUAGUGUAGCGGUGAAAU